AUAACAAUCCAUAGCAGAUAGACGUGAUAUUAUUGAUGAUAAUUAU
RNAcentral lists this non-coding RNA (46 nucleotides) under Trypanosoma brucei brucei. Lineage: Eukaryota; Euglenozoa; Kinetoplastea; Trypanosomatida; Trypanosomatidae. The record is from RNAcentral.